AAAUAUAACUUUUUGGCAUUUGAGGACCCAACUCCUCAUUCAAUCUGUAAUCAUGAAAAUGGGUAUAUUUUAUUCCCAGUGCUCCAGUAAGUGUUCUUUUCCAACUUCAUUGACUGGAAAGUAGCGGAGCACAGCGCCUGAGGAAUGAGGAAUCUUUUUCAUCUCAUCCAUUUCUUUCUUUGGCGAAAUGCAAGGCCGCAAAUGAAGAUGAGGGGAUUUCUGGAUCUGCGCAUAUACCCUGAACCCGGUCAUUUGGCCAAUGUUCGGAUAACCUCACACAGCCGGUUUGACAAAUCAAUAGUAACAACUUGUGAAGGUAGGCCGAUAGUUUCAUUUGCCUGUCGUUGGAAAUUGGGAUCUCAGUUUGAUUUUUCAAGUUAUGCAUUAGGCAAGGUAGACACACAUGUCCCCCUCUAUACUUUGUAUUAAAGGCAUGGCUAGUGGUAAAAAAUAGCAUCUGUUAAACUAUAUUUAUGAUAUUUCAAUAAGAUAUUAUGUGAUAUAUUAAAAUAUAGUGCUAUAUUUCUGAUAUUAGUUCUACAUUAUUAGAAAUAUGGAAUACGAUGCUAUUUUAUGAUAGUAGUUCUACGAUAUUAAGUUAAAUUAUAUUCGAAAUAUGGAAUACGAUGCUAUUUCAUUUUAGUUCUACGGUAUUAAGUUAAAUUAUAUUAGAAAUAUGGAAUACGAUGCUAUUUUAUUUUAGUUCUACGGUAUUAAGUUAAAUUAUAUUAGAAAUAUGGAAUACGAUGCUAUUUUAUUUUAGUUCUACGGUAUUAAGUUAAAUUAUAUUAGAAAUAUGGAAUACGAUGCUAUUUUAUGAUACUAGUUCUACGAUAUUAAGUUAAAUUAUAUUAGAAAUAUGGAAUACGAUGCUAUUUUAUUUUAGUUCUACGAUAUUAAGUUAAAUUAUAUUAGAAAUAUUGAAUACGAUGCUAUUUUAUUUUAGUUCUACGGUAUUAAGUUAAAUAAUAUUUCGAAAUAUGGAAUACGAUGCUAUUUUAUUUUAGUUCUACGGUAUUAAGUUAAAUUAUAUUAGAAAUAUGGAAUACGAUGCUAUUUUAGUUUAGUUCUACGGUAUUAGGUUAAAUUAUAUUAGAAAUAUGGAAUACGAUGCUAUUUUAGUUCUACGAUAUUAAGUUAAAAUAUAUUAGAAAUAUGGAAUACAAUGCUAUUUUAUAAUAUUCGUUCUACGAUAUUAUGUUCUAUGAUAUUGGAAAAAUAAAGUAUAAAGCCAUGUCUCCUAUAUUAGUUCUACUAUAUUAUGUCAUAUCAGUGUUUCCCCUAAGGGGGAUAUAAUGGUAGGGAAAACACUGUAUAUGAUAUUAAGUUAUAUAAUAUUAUAAAUACUAAGUAUGAUGCCAUGUUUGUUAAAUUAGUCCUAUAUUAUUUCAUAUCAGUGUUUCCCCUAUGUUGCCAACUAUGGGGGGGCGGACGUACCGGAGGGAGCGUGGGUGUUGGGACGCGGCGGGGGAUAUUAUGGUAGGGAAAACACUGUAUAUGAUAUUAAGUUAUAUAAUAUUAUAAAUACUAAGUAUGAUGCCAUGUUUGUUAUAUUAGUCCUAUAUUAUGUUAUAUGAGAUUAGUCCUAUAUAAUCUUCUAUGAUAUUAGAAAUAUGAAGUAUAAUACUAUGUUUGUUAUAUUAGUCCUACAUAAUGCUAUAUUAGUCCUAUAUUAUCUGGUUAUUAUCUAUGAUAUUACAAAUAUGAAGUAUGAUAAUAUGUUAUAUAUAUUGGCAUGGCAUCACUGUAAUAUUGGCAUGGCAUCAUUGAAACUAUAGAGGGGGACAUGUGUGUCUACCUUUCCUAAUGCAUAACCUGAAAAAUCAAACCGAGAUCCCAAUUUCCAACGACAGACGAAUGAAACUAUCGGCCUACCUUCACAAGUUGUCACUGUUGAUUCGUCAACCCAGCCGUGGUAGUUCAUCCAAACACCAGCCAAAUGGCCAGGUUCAGGGUAUAUGCACAGAUACAGAAAUCCCCUCAUCUUCAUCUGCAGCCUUGCAUUAACCAAAGAAGGAAAUGGAUGAGAUGAAAAAGAUUCCUCAUUCCUCAGAGGCCGUGCUGUGUUGCUGUCCAGUCGAUGAAGUUGGAAAAAAACACUUCCUGGAGCACAGGGAAUAAAAUAUACAAUGGCAAUGAUAUUUACCAAUGAAUGAGGAGGCGGUCUAUGCCGGGG
Long non-coding RNA from Gasterosteus aculeatus aculeatus (three-spined stickleback), 2176 nucleotides. The record is from Ensembl. Lineage: Eukaryota; Metazoa; Chordata; Actinopteri; Perciformes; Gasterosteidae.